RNAcentral lists this long non-coding RNA (504 nucleotides) under Homo sapiens (human). RNAcentral's name for it is "non-protein coding lnc-EXOSC8-6:2". The record is from RNAcentral. Lineage: Eukaryota; Metazoa; Chordata; Mammalia; Primates; Hominidae.
GCUGCCAGGAGCCUGGAGCGCUGCGUUCCGCGCAGGACGCCGACAGAGUCUCGCUCUGUCGCCCAGGCUGGAGUGGAGUGGAGAAAUCUCAGCUAACUGCAACCUUUGCCUCCUGGGUUCAAGCGAUUCUCCCUGCCUCAGUCUCCGGAGUAGCUGGGAUUAUAGGCGUGCACCACCACACCCGGCUAAUUUUUGUAUUUUUAGUAGAGACUGUUUCACUAUGUUGGGCAGGCUGCUCUUGAACUCCUCAUCUCAAGUGAUCCACCCGCCUUGGCCUCCCAAAGUGCUGGGAUUACAGGCGUGAGCCAUCAUGCACGGCCUGGGGUGAAUCUUUUUAAUGAGCAUUUAUUAUUUGCCGUUCACAAUGCCAAGGGUCAUAAUGAAUGAAAGUGUCUUGGAAUUAGAGUUAGUGGUUGCACACAUUAUAAGUGUAUUAAAGUACACUCCAAAAUAAAAUCCGAACACAUUAAGUGGUUACUCCCAUUCCUCCCUCUCUCAGCCCCU